Molecule: long non-coding RNA, 165 nt
Organism: Erpetoichthys calabaricus (reedfish)
Lineage: Eukaryota; Metazoa; Chordata; Cladistia; Polypteriformes; Polypteridae
Exons: 3
Source: RefSeq, a predicted model, not a curated record
AAGGUGACACGCGCAAUUAAACAAGGUGACACGCACACUUAAGGUGACGCACACACUCAAAAGGGGUGACGCGCAGAAUUAAAUGUGGUGCCACACAAUUAAAAAAGGUGACACGCACAAUUAAAUGACGCACACAAUUAAACAAAGUGACGCACACACUUAAGG